RNAcentral lists this ribosomal RNA (301 nucleotides) under uncultured bacterium. RNAcentral describes it as "partial 16S ribosomal RNA". It matches the Rfam family "Bacterial small subunit ribosomal RNA", at positions 509 to 807 of the family's 1533-position model. The record is from RNAcentral.
CAGUAGCCGCGGGAAUACGUAGGGUGCGAGCGUUGUCCGGAAUUAUUGGGCGUAAAGAGCUUGUAGGCGGUCUGUCGCGUCUGCUGUGAAAACCCGAGGCUCAACCUCGGGCCUGCAGUGGGUACGGGCAGACUAGAGUGCGGUAGGGGAGAACGGAACUCCUGGUGUAGCGGUGGAAUGCGCAGAUAUCAGGAAGAACACCGAUGGCGAAGGCAGUUCUCUGGGCCGUAACUGACGCUGAGAAGCGAAAGCGUGGGGAGCGAACAGGAUUAGAUACCCCUGUAGUCCCUGUCUCUUAUAC